This 64-nucleotide non-coding RNA is filed under the name Spodoptera frugiperda (fall armyworm). Lineage: Eukaryota; Metazoa; Arthropoda; Insecta; Lepidoptera; Noctuidae. The record is from RNAcentral.
GUGUCAAUGUGAGCGGUCAGGAAAGAAAAUUGGUUUCUUGUAAAAAGCCCCACGUUGGGCGCCA